CCGCGGGAUUAGAGUUUGAUCAUGGCUCAGGAUGAACGCUAGCGGCAGGCCUAAUACAUGCAAGUCGAGGGGUAAGGUCUCUUUCGGGAGAUACACGACCGGCGCACGGGUGCGUAACGCGUAUGCAACCUACCUUUAACAGAGGGAUAGCCCCGAGAAAUCGGGAUUAAUACCACAUAACACCACAUUGUUUCAUGACAGAGUGGUUAAAGCUCCGGCGGUUAAAGAUGGGCAUGCGUGACAUUAGCUAGUUGGUGAGGUAACUGCUCACCAAGGCAACGAUGUCUAGGGGUUCUGAGAGGAUGAUCCCCCACACUGGUACUGAGACACGGACCAGACUCCUACGGGAGGCAGCAGUAAGGAAUAUUGCGCAAUGGAGGCAACUCUGACGCAGCCAUGCCGCGUGCAGGAAGAAGGCCUUAUGGGUCGUAAACUGCUUUUAUUUAGGAAUAAUCCCCCCAACGUGUUGGGGGUUGAAGGUACUAAACGAAUAAGCACCGGCUAACUCCGUGCCAGCAGCCGCGGUAAUACGGAGGGUGCAAGCGUUAUCCGGAUUUAUUGGGUUUAAAGGG
This 572-nucleotide ribosomal RNA is filed under the name uncultured bacterium. Its description in RNAcentral is "bacterial SSU rRNA". It matches the Rfam family "Bacterial small subunit ribosomal RNA", at positions 1 to 567 of the family's 1533-position model. The record is from RNAcentral.